Molecule: transfer RNA, 66 nt
Filed under: Coleoptera sp. 20 KM-2017
Lineage: Eukaryota; Metazoa; Arthropoda; Insecta; Coleoptera
Description: tRNA-Ser
Source: RNAcentral
AGUUAAUGAACUUGUAAAGUAUAUGUUUUGAAAACAUAAAAAAGAAUUAAAAUAUUCUAUUAACUU